Molecule: ribosomal RNA, 439 nt
Filed under: uncultured bacterium
Lineage: Bacteria
Description: partial 16S ribosomal RNA
Rfam family: Bacterial small subunit ribosomal RNA
Source: RNAcentral
CUACGGGUCGCUGCAAUGGGGAAUAUUGCACAAUGGAGGAAACUCUGAUGCAGCAACGCCGCGUGGAGGAUGACACUUUUCGGAGCGUAAACUCCUUUUAUAUAGGAAGAAGAUGACGGUACUAUAUGAAUAAGCGCCGGCUAACUCCGUGCCAGCAGCCGCGGUAAUACGGAGGGCGCAAGCGUUACUCGGAAUCACUGGGCGUAAAGAGCCUGUAGGCGGAUUAAAAAGUCAGAAGUGAAAUCCUAUAGCUUAACUAUAGAACUGCUUCUGAAACUCUUAAUCUAGAAUAUGGGAGAGGUAGAUGGAAUUUCUGGUGUAGGGGUAAAAUCCGUAGAGAUCAGAAGGAAUACCGAUUGCGAAGGCGAUCUACUAGAACAUUAUUGACGCUGAGACGCGAAAGCGUGGGGAGCAAACAGGAUUAGAUACCCCUGUAGUC